Molecule: small RNA, 842 nt
Filed under: Pongo abelii (Sumatran orangutan)
Lineage: Eukaryota; Metazoa; Chordata; Mammalia; Primates; Hominidae
Description: processed transcript
Source: RNAcentral
AAAGGAAUUAAACCCUGAGGAAGGGGAAAUGGUGGAAGAAAAAUACCAGAAAGCAGAAAACAUGUAUGCCCAAAUAAAGGAGGAGGUGCGCCAGCGAGCCCUGGCUCUGGAUGAGGCCGUGUCCCAGUCCACACAGAUUACAGAGAAAUCCAGGAUAAAUUGGAUCAAAUGGUAUUCUUCUGGGAGGACAUCAAAGCUCGGGCUGAAGAGCGAGAAAUCAAAUUUCUUGAUGUCCUUGAAUUAGCAGAGAAGUUCUGGUAUGACAUGGCAGCUCUCCUGACCACCAUCAAAGACACCCAGGAUAUUGUCCAUGACUUGGAAAGCCCAGGCAUUGAUCCUUCCAUCAUCAAACAACAGGUUGAAGCUGCUGAGACUAUUAAGGAAGAGACAGAUGGUCUGCAUGAAGAGCUGGAGUUUAUUCGGAUCCUUGGAGCAGAUUUGAUUUUUGCCUGUGGAGAAACUGAGAAGCCUGAAGUGAGGAAGAGCAUUGAUGAGAUGAAUAAUGCUUGGGAGAACUUAAACAAAACAUGGAAAGAGAGGCUAGAAAAACUUGAGGAUGCUAUGCAAGCUGCUGUGCAGUAUCAGGACACUCUUCAGGCUAUGUUUGACUGGCUGGAUAACACUGUGAUUAAACUCUGCACCAUGCCCCCUGUUGGCACUGACCUCAAUACUGUUAAAGAUCAGUUAAAUGAAAUGAAGGAGUUCAAAGUAGAAGUUUACCAACAGCAAAUUGAGAUGGAGAAGCUUAAUCACCAGGGUGAACUGAUGUUAAAGAAAGCUACUGAUGAGACGGACAGAGACAUUAUACGAGAACCACUGACAGAACUCAAACACCUGUGGGA